This 700-nucleotide long non-coding RNA is filed under the name Polistes fuscatus (common paper wasp). RNAcentral describes it as "uncharacterized LOC122520838, transcript variant X2". The record is from RNAcentral. Lineage: Eukaryota; Metazoa; Arthropoda; Insecta; Hymenoptera; Vespidae.
UUAAGUAUCUACUCUUGUCUACUAGUGGUCCCGGUACUAACUAAAAUGAUUUUGGUUAGAUAAAAAGUGGACAUGUGAGUUUCUAUAUACUUACAGAUUCUUUGAAAGAGUUUACUACUUUAUUCUAGAAUUAUCGUAUGUUGAUAAAUAGAAUGAUUACUAACUUUUCAUCAGAGACAGAUGGUAAUAUAGAAAUCGCUACGAUUUGGGAAACACUGGUGCUGCCACACUCUUAAGCUACGUCUAACAAUAAGAGUAGUCUUAAGCGUCUGGAAUCCCGAUAAAACAGUUUUAUGAAGAAUGUCGAGGUUAGAAAAUAAAAUUUAUUUUCAUAUUUACAUUCAGUAAACAUAACUUUCUGCUUAAUAUGUUUACUAAACAGUGCUUACUAAUUUGUUGUCGCUCGAUCAUAUCUGGUCUAUAUUAAACAACUAUGACUAGAUGGGCAUGCAAUGCAUAUUAAGAAAAAUGCGUAAUGUUUUUUUGGGUGGAUGUCAACGUGAUGUGAAUAAUUUUAUCACGUUGGAAGAAGGCGAGAAAACUUAUUACAUUUUACAGUGAUGCUGAUUGUUAUAGCAUUCUUAUUCCUAAGAAAUAAUCUAUAUAUAUUCCUAUGUGUGUGAAAGAAUGAAUGAUACAAAUAUGUGCAAGAAAUAUGUAAAUCUUGUUAAUAAAUCCUGGAAAUCAUUUUUCAAAUCAA